RNAcentral lists this ribosomal RNA (474 nucleotides) under uncultured bacterium. RNAcentral describes it as "partial 16S ribosomal RNA". It matches the Rfam family "Bacterial small subunit ribosomal RNA", at positions 28 to 507 of the family's 1533-position model. The record is from RNAcentral.
GACGAACGCUGGCGGCGUGCUUAACACAUGCAAGUCGAGCGGUAAGGCUCCUUCGGGAGUACACGAGCGGCGAACGGGUGAGUAACACGUGAGUAAUCUGCCCUUCACUUCGGGAUAACCACCGGAAACGGUGGCUAAUACCGAAUACGACCAGUCUUCGCAUGAGGUGCUGGUGGAAAGUCUUUUCGGUGAAGGAUGUGCUCGCGGCCUAUCAGCUUGUUGGUGGGGUAAUGGCCUACCAAGGCUUCGACGGGUAGCCGGCCUGAGAGGGUGACCGGCCACACCGGGACUGAGACACGGCCCAGACUCCUACGGGAGGCAGCAGUGGGGAAUAUUGGACAAUGGGCGAAAGCCUGAUCCGGCAACGCCGCGUGAGGGAUGACGGCCUUCGGGUUGUAAACCUCUUUCAGUACCGACGAAGCGCCCUGUCGGGUGGUGACGGUAGGUACAGAAGAAGGACCGGCCAACUACGUG